This 253-nucleotide ribosomal RNA is filed under the name uncultured prokaryote. RNAcentral's name for it is "partial 16S ribosomal RNA". It matches the Rfam family "Bacterial small subunit ribosomal RNA", at positions 525 to 777 of the family's 1533-position model. The record is from RNAcentral.
ACGUAGGGGGCAAGCGUUGUCCGGAUUUAUUGGGCGUAAAGAGCGUGUAGGCGGCCUGAAAGGUCAGCUGUGAAAACUCGAGGCUCAACCUCGAGACGUCGGUUGAAACCAUCUGGCUAGAGUCCGGAAGAGGAGUGUGGAAUUCCUGGUGUAGCGGUGAAAUGCGCAGAUAUCAGGAGGAACACCGGUGGUGUAGACGGCUAUCUGGACCGUAACUGACGCUGAGACACGAAAGCGUGGGUAGCAAACAGGA